RNAcentral lists this ribosomal RNA (257 nucleotides) under uncultured bacterium. RNAcentral's name for it is "partial 16S ribosomal RNA". It matches the Rfam family "Bacterial small subunit ribosomal RNA", at positions 1234 to 1500 of the family's 1533-position model. The record is from RNAcentral.
CAGGUACAGAGGGAUGCUCCGGGCGACCGGAUGCGGAUCUCGAAAGCCUGUCCCAGUUCGGACUGGAGUCUGCAACCCGACUCCACGAAGUUGGAUUCGCUAGUAAUCGCGCAUCAGCCAUGGCGCGGUGAAUACGUUCCCGGGCCUUGUACACACCGCCCGUCAAGCCAUGGGAGCCGGGGGCGCCUGAAGUGCGUGACCGCAAGGAGCGUCCUAAGGCAAUACCGGUGACUGGGGCUAAGUCGUAACAAGGUACC